Empidonax traillii (willow flycatcher) is the source of this 3885-nucleotide long non-coding RNA. RefSeq lists it as uncharacterized. The record is from RefSeq and is a predicted model, not a curated record. The transcript has 2 exons. Lineage: Eukaryota; Metazoa; Chordata; Aves; Passeriformes; Tyrannidae.
UUUUUUUCUUUUUUUUUUUUUUUUUUUUUUUUUUCGUCUCCUGAGCAGAUUCUGCUGCAGCUCAGCUUUGGGUGGAGGCUGGGGGUUAUCUCGGAGCUUCACAAGCCUCGCUGUGCUCUGCGGGGAGUUGCAGCUCGUGCUCACUGCAGACCCAGAGUAGGUGAGCCAGGAAAGCCUGGCUCGAGCAACCACUUCAGAGGGCAGGACAGGGAGGAAAAGCAAACACUGUAGAGAGGUGGCCUCCCUGGUAAGGCUAGAGCAGGACCGUCCUGCGGACCCUAAGGGAGGGAGAAGGUAAGUGGCUGCUUGGCAGAGGCUGCCUGCGGGAGCGGCAUGUGCCGGGCAGGGCGCGCCCUGCCCGCAGUUCCUGCGGCUCAGCACCAGCCGCUCCGUGGGUUUGUACAGCCUGUGCUGUGGUAUGUGCCGAGACUCAGGGCUGUUCCCCUGCGAGGGAGAGCACUGGGUGCUGCCGCGAAGGAGGCACCGCAGCCCGCGCCUUUCACAACGACUGCGCUCAUCGCUCCAUUCCUCGCUCCCCCUUCUCGCUCCUCACCGGGUCAGGCUCUGUCGAGAACAAGCGACAAACCGUCCGCACAAAACAGAACACGUUUCCAUGGAGGGGGAAAAAAAUACCAACAAAAACAACUAACAAAAGCGUUUCCGCAGUGCCAGGCUGGCUCUGAAGCGCUGCCUCAGCGCUGUGAGCCCCGUCGGGGGCUCCGGGGCCGGGGCCGCCCGAGCCGCCGCCCGGUCCCUGCCCGGCCGCUGGAGCCAGCGCUGAGCCUGGGUCACGGCGGCUCUCAGUGACCAUCUGCCAGCAAAAUCGGAAGGAACGGUGACGUUAUUCUUAGCAGAACACCAUUGAAAUGCUCCUCUGGUAUUUCUCAGUAGAGGUGAAAAGCAUUUCAGCUUCCUGGAAAUGGCCGAAGCUGGCGACGUGUAGAUCAAAGACUCUGAUCUUUGUCUGCGAUUAAUCAUUGUCCAGGACGGCUGUUCCCGAUGGUAGGAUCCAUGAAGUGCUCCAGCUGGGAGAGGUCCUAACGCCUGUGCCUGGCUCUGCGUACGUGCAAACCAGGGCCAGAAAUUGCUGGGGCAGCAGGGGCUGGACAGCGAGCCCGCCGUGCCCCCCAAGUGAAUUGUGUGGGUCCUCAGCACUUCUGGAAAUGGUUUUUGUAAGUCUGAGCUGAAAAUUUCUUUCCGUUUUUUAAGAGUUUCUGAAUGACUAUAAUGUUCAAUGUAGUUUAAAAGUCGCCAAGGCAGUUGAGACCGGUUGUGCUCUCAGAGUGGGUGGUUUCAUGGCUGCUGAACCUCGUAUCUGAAAAGCAAAAUGUUCUGGUACAGCGUGUUUAAAUCCCAGAAAGGUCAAACCAGACUUUCAUACUUGGGUUAGACUGACCCUGGUGUGCUGCAUGAGACUUUUUAGAUAAAGAAAGAGAUCUUUCAGGGAGAAGGAGGAAAAAAAAAAAAAAAAAAGUUGGUUUGUGUUUUUUUUUCUGAACAGCUUGUGGUGACUCUGUGCACAGUCUUGAAGCAAAGGGGUUUGUUCUUGCCCACAGUGUCCCUCCCCGGCAUUGCUGAGUGGAAAACUCUUAUGCUAAUUAUAUCACUGUCUGUUAUCAAUAAGAAGUGAUUUAAUUUCUUUGGCAAAGUGUUGCAACAAGAGCAAAUUAGAUUGAGAGGCAAAGUGAAAUAAAAAAUAUGCAGCUGUUCUGCCAAACAAUGAUCCUGACUGUUUACAACAUUUUGUUUUAGGCUGCCUUGUACACAGAAUCCUUUAUAUUGAAGCUAUUCAAGUCACAAUCCAUUGCUUGUGCAAGGAAACUAGAUUAAUAGAUUAUGAAAGACAAAGAGACCAAGGUUCAUCUGGUUCGACAUCCUGCAUUAUGUAGGUCUCGGGAUUUUUGUGAAUUUGUUGCUUUUCCUCAUUUGAAAGAAUUUAACUGCAGCAUGCCUGCAUCUUAAAUGAAGAUCACAUUUUCAUUUUAAAAUGGGCUGUGAGAGGGAGUAAAAUAAGAGUAAAUUUUUUCCAUCAAAAUCUACCAGCCAGACUAGAAAUCAAAGUACCUUUUUAAACUUGUCUAGUUUCUGUUUUCAGUUUCUGGAUGUCUCUGCCCCUCAGUCUGCUUGGUGGAGGAAUACUCCAUGGCCAGAUUUUCAUCCCUGUGUAGCCGUGCUCAGGCUGAGCAUUUAAUACUCCAUUGCAGACUGCAGAGCUCCCCCUCGGGUCCAUCUUUACUAAUCCUGGAAUUGUUCCUGCCUGUGAAUGCUCCAGUUUGUCACCAUUUUGAUCUGGGCAGAAGGGGACGGAGCCCUCGGCAGGGACCAGACCCGAGCCAACAGCGCUCCUGGCUGAGCUGUCAGGAAUCCUGAGCUGUCAGGAAUCCAGGGAUUACACCGGCCCAUGUUCAGCUGGUUUCCCAGCACGGCUCCUAAAAUACUCUCAGAUCUGCUCCUUCUUAGGAUGGCAACCCUGUGCUGUAGGUUUGUGCUCUUUGUUCUGCAUGUAUGGCUUUGCUCUUGCUCCUCCUGAAAAGGACAAGCCCUUAGCGUUGUUGCUUACAAUAGGCUUUUUUUUUAAUUCUUAUUUUUAUUUAUUCCUCCCCCCCCCGUGCUACUGCUAAGCGUCACCUACAAAGUUGGUUGGUCGUGAUUUUGUAUUUUCUCCAGAUAAACAACUGGUUCUGUCUCCACUGUGGGUGUUUCCUGGUUCCGGGUGCGUGUACACACACCUCAGCCGUGUCAAUAUUGUGUCAGGAGGAGGGCUGGUUGUACAACAUCCCCUUGCCACACCCCAGUUUCAUGGGAAGAAAGCCCAGCUUAGGAGCUGGAAGGGAGCCAGGAAGCACACUGCAACAUUUACUUGCCGUGGUGUCUAUUAUGUAGCCAUUAAAUAACCUAAGGCCCAAAUCAGGUGGACUCGCCAAGGAGGGAGGACACCUCUGGGACACGGUGGUUACAAAGUGCAUUUUGAGACCUUCCUGUUAGAUGGGUUUUUCAGAGGUGGUGCCUCUACUAUGUAUUCUCUACUCAGCUGUUCGUUCAAGACCUAAAUGCAUUUGGGACUCCUUCCCCACUGCCAAAUUUGAUUGAGAUUGGAGGGGGAAAUGACAUAGAACUACACAGUCACAUUAGACAGUUUUAUUUUUAGGAAACCAGGCUAAGAAUAUCGAAGGAAUAUCGAGUAGGAAUAUGGACAUGGUAUUUGCCUGUUCAGUUUUUCUUGCCAUGAAAUUUUCCAUUUUUUUCCUGAGAACAGCAGAUGAUCUGUCUUGGGAAUUGUCAGCCAAAAUAAGCAACCUCUUGACAGAUUUCACCUGUGUCCCAGCGUGCUCUGAGGGUACAUGGGAUGUGAGCCUUGAACAGUGACAGGGAAUCACUAGUUGGCUGUGUUGUUUGGCUGCUGGGGUGCAGAGAUACAUGCUGAUACCCAGUAGCGGAACAAACAUCUACUUUUUUUUAAGAUCCAGACAAAUUUUGAUGGGUAUGUUGGAUAUUUGCCAGAGAUUUUUUUUUUUUUUUGUUACUUUUCAAGCUGUAUCUGUUCAUUCUAUACCUGCUAGUGUUAUGACAAAGCCACCUCUGUGAGGUAGGGAGUGAGUGCUUUCAGAGAUCUAAUCAUUCUUGAGCUAUAAAGGAAUAAAGAGGCUGUUUCAACACCUGACUUGCAGAAUGUUUUGUGUUGCUUCUUGCCCAUUGAAAUGCAGCUGCUAUUGAAACACCGUGAUCCCAUCGGGAUGUAGAACCGGUUAUUUUUUUAGAAUGCUUUCAAGCUUAUAAAAAUCAUGAAAUAAAUCAAGAAGGUUGGCAAUUCUAAUCAGCAUUCUAAAGCCAUCAAAUUACAAAACAGUUCAGUGCUUCGUGGCCUCUGAACAGUACAGUUUUACA